CCGCGCCGCAGCCGCCAGGUGCCCUGGGCCCCGCCAUCUUUGGGCACCUUCCGUACAGCUUCCGGGACCCGCUGGCGCGGCUGCGACCGUCUCCAGGCAGAGCGCUUAGGCCCUGGCCGGGAAUGGAGAGUGUCAGAGGCUCGAGCUCACACAAGGCAAGCACGGCUAUGGGCAGCUCUUCUCCACGGACGACACGCAGCCCAAACCUGGAAGGUCUGGCCGGCGCUUUCCCGAAGGCGCCGCUUCCGCCCCCCGGGGCCGUGGCGGCCGGCGGGAUCUUCAAAGGGCUUUAGGGCGCCUCAGUCACCGUUUCUGACGCGAUCGCUUCCGAGGCCGUGUGAGACCGUGUUGGCCCGGAGCUGGCGGUGCCGUUAGGGAGCGACCUGGGGGUCCCGCCGCAGGGGAGCGGCUCCGGGGACCUCCGGUCGUGGGUCUCCGACUUCCCCGGCUCAGAUGGGCCUCCUCGGUGGAUCCACCCGACUCGCCCGUUCACACUGCCUGCCUGUCUUGACGCUGGCUUCACCGGGACUCCACCUAGGAGAGGGCGAGGACUCUAGAAAACAGGGACGCGGGAGGUGGUUUAGGGGACACAGAAACGUGUAUUUUCAUUUGAUACCAACUGGGAAUUAUGUUUGCAGUCAGCAGCGGCACAGGCCUCUAGUCCACCUGUUAGGCUAGCCUCAGUGACCCAGUGAGACCUGGGCUCAAAAAAUUAACUAACUAAAAAGUACUGGGGGGCAUGUUGCUCAGCUGGUAAAGCAACCUGGGUUCAAUCCCCAGUACUAGGAAACAGGGAGGGAGAGAGAGACGUCUGGGGAGUCAGCUCGGUGUAGAGGGCUUGGGGAGCAUUCCUGAGGCCCCACCGAAGAAAGUGGGGAGAAGGCAAAGAUGGACCGAUUACAGCAAAGAACCAAGAUUUCAGUCAUGCAAAUAUUCCGACUUCUGGUUUGGAAAAGCCCACCAAGGGUAACCAAAUAUGGAUUAUACAGAUCAGAAAAAUAAGCAGGACACUUGUUUCAGAAAUCGCAUCGAAGAGGCAAGUCAGAGUAUCAAAUCGGCACGUUCAUUUGAGCUCAUCUGCGAUAUUUUUAAUAUCUGUGAUAUUCUACUUCUAAAAUGUACUCAUUCUACUUCUAAAAUGUACUCAUUUUCUUCCUGCUGUAGUAAUUUUCCCACAGUUCUGACCUCAUGUUUGGGGGACACUUAUUUUCAAUAUCCAACCUUUGUCUGUCUGUGGACGCAUUCUUUUAUGUUCCUCAAGAGGGAAAGAUGAACGCAGCAUCCUUUGGGAAGUGUGAAUGCGGUGGGGACCACGUGCAGGUCCCUAGGAGUAGCUGUGCAUCCGAACGGGAAAGGAACUGACCUCCACGAUCUACACGCUGAACCUAUACAGAUGCCCACAUCUAAACUAGUCCCAUUUCCAUGUCCUUAAAACACUGACCCCUCACCUUGCCAGUGACAGCAUCCACCCUUGGAGGGGGAAAGCCUUGGUGCUGAGCGGGGGGGAUCCUAUGGUCUCCUUGGUUGAUUCCUUCUAGCUGGCUCCUGGAGGAUUGUCAAAAACAAGACAAAACAAAAAAGCGCGUGUCUUUGGUAGUUACCUUACCAGGGUGCCAUUGGAAUGCUGUAGAUGGUAAGAAUGCCACCGCCAUCACGAGGGUGGACUUGGACCUUAAGUACCGAACCGAAUUUGGAGCACCAGGUAAACGUGGCCUCAGACAUAAGAUGACUAGCAUCCAAUGUGCGAGCCUCAACCCACCAUCUCCAGGAGCCCGGGCCUCCGGGGUCCCGCUGCAGGGGUGCACAGGCACUGCACGGAGACCUGGGGACGCCCCCCCACCGGUGUCACUGCCUCCCUCCAUGCCCGGAGCCUCGCGUGCAGCGGACCGAGCCUCGACCACCAGAGCCCCCGACCGCGGGUGUCUUGUUCCUUAACCUCCCCAGGACCCCUAUCCAGUGACCCUCAGGCCCAGCACCAACCCAGACUCCCCUGACGCGCCCUCGCCGCCACGUCCACGGCCCUCGGCUCCCAAAGCACAUCCGGGCCGACUGGACCCGCGUCCCUGUCGCUUCAGCGGCGACCCUGAAGGCCGCGCCGGUGUGCACAGGUCCCCACAGGGCUGCCUGCGCCCAGAGGCUAUGGGCAGGUGUCACUGAGAAGUGUCAGGACCUGGGGCCGCCCGACGCACACUUGGCGGUUAGGAGCGGGCGCUGUGCACGCAGUCAUCCGAGGACAUGACGAUUUUCCAUUCAGCAAACAGAGUCUUCUGGGAGAGAUUCCCGGCCUUUAGGGAAGGACUCAAGGGUACUCAGGAGGGCCUCCAGCUUGGAAGUGCUGCUGGAGGAGCAGCAAGGCUUGCACAAGGCGAGAUGGCUGACAGGAGUCACAGAGGCAGCGGUCAGAGUGGACCAAAGCUGCUGGCCUUUUGUGUGUCUGUCAGGGAAUGGAGAGAAUCAUAGGUCAAAUCUAGGGCAGUCCAGUGCCAGUGAAGACCAGUGCCCAAGCACAACCAAAGAGAGGGAUGAGGUUUCAGAUGUAAUUGGAUUAUUUCCCUAAAAACACAAAAAUUGUAAAUGGAGCACACGAAAGUAUUAAACAGCUAAUGUAGUUUUCCUUUGAGAAACAGCAUGCUUAGUAUCAGCUAUGGCCAGGGUGAAGCUGUAAAGGAUUUAAGUUGGCAUUGCCUUCUAAAGACACAAUCUGAAAUUGUCUUAUUAAAUUCUAUUUACCUGGGAUGCCAGCCUCUGAAGUGAAUUCACCGUCUGGUUCUCAAGGAGGCCUGGGCAGCCCAUUUGGGGACUCUGGCUGUCAGUUCAGGUAGUAACGCGCUGGACAGGCAGAUUCACAGCGGUGAGCAGAGCCGCUCACGUGUGGGCAGAGCAUCCAUUUCUGACUCUUUACUGUUGAGCCCCUGAACUGAAUGCAGUGACAGCCACUGCUUUGCACAUUUUGCUCACCAGCUUAACUGGCGUCUACAGUAGUGCCUGAUAUGUGCGCCCCCCAAACUAUGUGAAAAGGAUGGACCCAAGAACUCAGGGAUUCCACUGUGAGGCAACUUUACACCAAAAAGGACCCCCUGUUUCUAACCUGGAUAUUGUCUUUAUUGGAUCAAAAUUGAACUGAGCAUGGGAGAGAUGUCAAGGGCCCCCAUUCCCCAGAGACUGGCAAGGAACAAAAAUAAAUCACACUCAUUUAGCAUGUCACAUAGGAGCCAGCAUCUCUGAAAUCAUGGCAACUCUGAAGGCUGGGGCCUGUGGACCAAUGAAAGGGUGCUUCUUCAAGAUAUCCAAAGGGAUCUCUCUCCUUGACCCACCUCACACACUGCUGUCCUGUGUUUUGUGAUUUUGUUCCUCUAAUCCUUUAACUGGGCGCAUUCUGUGACUUGAGGAAAGGUGGUGCUAGGAUUGAACUCGGGGCCUUGUGCAUGCAAAACGUGCUCUAACACUGAGCUACACUCCCAGCCCCAUUGUGGAUUCUAUGGUCUGCUCCUUUUACAUUAUGCCAGAUGCAAGUCACUAUGAAGAUUUUUAUUUUUUAAGUUUGUGGGGAAAAUGAUGAUCCUUAGAAUUUCUCCAUUAGGCCCUUUCCUUCCACAACAUUUUGAUUAGUCCAUGAAGUCAUUCAUGCACCCUCAUCCAUCUCCCAAGUCUACAAUUAAUUUCUAUUUUGUUAUGUACUGGGGAACUUACAAUUAUCUACAAAGUAUAAAGGAAUCUAUGUAGACAUAAAGAUAUGAACAUUUUUAAAAAGUGUUCAUACCUUGCUUCAUGUGAGUACAACUAAAUCAAUCAUCUGUCCUCCACAACUCCGCCCCUUUUCAACCAGUGUUUACAACCGCUAGCCACACAUGCUGGAGGGUAAAACUGCUAUGUGCACAGGACCCACCUAAAAAGAAAUGCUCAUUUAAAACCAGCAAGCGCUGACAGACAUGGUGGCACUCAGCUGUAAUCCCAAUGACCCAAGGCUGAGGCAGGAGGAUUACAGAUUCAAGGCCAGCUUUGUGAAUUUAGCAAGAGCCCCUCUCAAAACAAAAAGGGAUAGGGAUGUGGCUCAGUAAUAGAGCACCCUGGAGUUUGAUCCCCAGUACAAACAAAAAAUUAGCCAGGGGUUUUGUUUCCUUCAUCACCGCCAUCACCUACUUUCUGCAACAGCACCAGCAAAAGCAAAAUAGUUAGCAUUUUUCUGUGUGGUGUGUUUAUCAAAAAUAACACAAACCACAGGGUUAGGAUAAUAACUGCAUCCUGGGUUCAGAGUGAGGCUGGCUAGUCAUGUGGUUUGAACUUCAUUCCCCCAGUGGUAUUUAAAUAAAUUGUUUCUUUUAUAACCAAAAAAGUGUAAAGCUAAUCAUAAUAAUCCUGGGUAGAAAAAGAAGACUUGCGCCAGUAAAAAGGGAGAGAAGUUGCAUUAUAACUUUAACACAAAUCACCUCCUUUUAAUGAAGGAGCCACUGACAGUUUGACUUAAGGUAUACUGUCCUAAAAUGCACUCUGUGUGUUAUCUCUUGUAAAAUAUUAGACUUCUGAUGCAAAUCUCUAUUCUUCAUCUUCACAGGUUUAUUUGCUUCAAGUAUUCUCUGAUAUUUUACUGAAGAUGUUUCAAGUGUUCACUUUUAUUUCUAUGUUUUCCUCUGGUAACAUGAUACAGAAUGGUACCAUGAGCAACCCUGCCACCUUCACUGCCUGCAAAGGUCUUCCAACCAUUUUUCUUUGCAUGACACCUACAGAGAUCUUUCUUUUGGGCAAGGACUUCUCCAUGGUCAUUAUAUUUCUACCAACUUUGAGCUCACUAAUCUGUGACCAUUGAUAAGGUUUAUCUUCCCAUAAAUGAUUUAUUCAGCAAGCAUUCAUACUAUUUUUUUUUCCCAGCAUACUGUCAGCUAUAUAAUGAGCUAUAUUUAUACUCAAGGGUUUUCUAUCUUCAAUGCAUCAUGAUUUACUCCUGUGUGACUUUUGUGACAUAAAACGUGAUGUAAUUGAUCACUGAAAGCACUAUCACAUUCAUUGCAUUCAUAAGAUUUCUCUUCUGUGCAAGGUCCAGUCUCUGCUGAGGGUGAAUGUCUGACAUCUGGCUGUCCCACAAUAGCUAUGCUCCUAUCUGCUUGGAACUCACUGUUGCCCAAUGAAGUUUGAGUUGCCAC
This 5138-nucleotide long non-coding RNA is filed under the name Marmota monax (woodchuck). The record is from RNAcentral. Lineage: Eukaryota; Metazoa; Chordata; Mammalia; Rodentia; Sciuridae.